UACGUAGGUCCCGAGCGUUGUCCGGAUUUAUUGGGCGUAAAGCGAGCGCAGGUGGUUUAUUAAGUCUAGUGUAAAAGGCAGUGGCUCAACCAUUGUAUGCAUUGGAAACUGGUAGACUUGAGUGCAGGAGAGGAGAGUGGAAUUCCAUGUGUAGCGGUGAAAUGCGUAGAUAUACGGAGGAACACCGGUGGCGAAAGCGGCUCUCUGGCCUGUAACUGACACUGAGGCUCGAAAGCGUGGGGAGCAAACAGG
Molecule: ribosomal RNA, 252 nt
Filed under: uncultured bacterium
Lineage: Bacteria
Description: partial 16S ribosomal RNA
Rfam family: Bacterial small subunit ribosomal RNA
Source: RNAcentral